This 76-nucleotide transfer RNA is filed under the name Gammaproteobacteria bacterium. RNAcentral's name for it is "tRNA-Thr". It matches the Rfam family "tRNA". From Rfam's summary of the family: Transfer RNA (tRNA) molecules are approximately 80 nucleotides in length. The record is from RNAcentral. RNAcentral also lists the same sequence under 3 other names. Lineage: Bacteria; Pseudomonadati; Pseudomonadota; Gammaproteobacteria.
GCCGGUGUAGCUCAGUCGGUAGAGCAACUGAUUCGUAAUCAGUAGGUCGUCGGUUCGAUUCCGGCCACCGGCACCA